This 472-nucleotide ribosomal RNA is filed under the name uncultured bacterium. Its description in RNAcentral is "partial 16S ribosomal RNA". It matches the Rfam family "Bacterial small subunit ribosomal RNA", at positions 28 to 508 of the family's 1533-position model. The record is from RNAcentral.
GACGAACGCUGGCGGCGUGCUUAACACAUGCAAGUCGAACGAUGAAGCCUAGCUUGCUCGGUGGAUUAGUGGCGAACGGGUGAGUAAUACGUGAGUGACCUACCUUUGACUCUGGGAUAAGCCUGGGAAACUGGGUCUAAUACCGGAUACGACCAAUCUCCGCAUGGGGUGUUGGUGGAAAGCGUUAUGGGGUGGUUUUAGAUGGGCUCACGGCCUAUCAGCUUGUUGGUGAGGUAAUGGCUUACCAAGGCGACGACGGGUAGCCGGCCUGAGAGGGUGACCGGCCACACUGGGACUGAGACACGGCCCAGACUCCUACGGGAGGCAGCAGUGGGGAAUAUUGCACAAUGGGCGCAAGCCUGAUGCAGCGACGCCGCGUGAGGGAUGACGGCCUUCGGGUUGUAAACCUCUGUUAGCAUCGAAGAAGCGAAAGUGACGGUAGGUGCAGAGAAAGCGCCGGCUAACUACGUGC